This 329-nucleotide ribosomal RNA is filed under the name uncultured eukaryote. RNAcentral's name for it is "partial 18S ribosomal RNA". It matches the Rfam family "Eukaryotic small subunit ribosomal RNA", at positions 1470 to 1796 of the family's 1831-position model. The record is from RNAcentral.
CCCUUAGAUGUCCGGGGCUGCACGCGCGCUACACUGAUACGUUCAACGAGUCCAAAACCUUGAUUGAUAGGUCUGGGUAAUCUUUUGAAGACGUAUCGUGCUAGGGAUAGAUUAUUGCAAUUAUUAAUCUUGAACGAGGAAUUCCUAGUAAACGCAAGUCAUCAGCUUGCAUUGAUUACGUCCCUGCCCUUUGUACACACCGCCCGUCGCACCUACCGAUUGAAUGACUCGGUGAAAAAUUGGGACUGUGAUUGAAAUUGCUUCAUUGCGAAUUUAAUUAUGGAAACUUUCUUUAACCUAGGCAUUUAGAGGAAGGUGAAGUCGUAACA